AGAGUUUGAUCCUGGCUCAGGACGAACGCUGGCGGCGUGCUUAACACAUGCAAGUCGAACGGAAAGGCCUGCCACCUUGGUGGUGGGUACUCGAGUGGCGAACGGGUGAGUAACACGUGGGUGAUCUGCCCCGCACUGUGGGAUAAGCCUGGGAAACUGGGUCUAAUACCACAUACGACCAUGGCGUAGGGGUCAUGGUGGAAAGCUUUUGCGGUGUGGGAUGAGCCCGCGGCCUAUCAGCUUGUUGGUGGGGUAAUGGCCUACCAAGGCGGCGACGGGUAGCCGGCCUGAGAGGGUGGACGGCCACAUUGGGACUGAGACACGGCCCAGACUCCUACGGGAGGCAGCAGUGGGGAAUAUUGCACAAUGGGCGCAAGCCUGAUGCAGCGACGCCGCGUGGGGGAUGGAAGGCCUUCGGGUUGUAAACUCCUUUCGCCCGGGACGAAGCCCACCUUGGUGGGUGACGGUACCGUGGAGAAGAAGCACCGGCUAACUACGUG
RNAcentral lists this ribosomal RNA (500 nucleotides) under uncultured Corynebacterium sp. RNAcentral describes it as "bacterial SSU rRNA". It matches the Rfam family "Bacterial small subunit ribosomal RNA", at positions 8 to 507 of the family's 1533-position model. The record is from RNAcentral. Lineage: Bacteria; Bacillati; Actinomycetota; Actinomycetes; Mycobacteriales; Corynebacteriaceae.